This 253-nucleotide ribosomal RNA is filed under the name uncultured bacterium. Its description in RNAcentral is "partial 16S ribosomal RNA". It matches the Rfam family "Bacterial small subunit ribosomal RNA", at positions 524 to 776 of the family's 1533-position model. The record is from RNAcentral.
UACGGAGGGUGCGAGCGUUAAUCGGAAUCACUGGGCGUAAAGCGCGCGUAGGCGGCUUUUCAAGUCAGGGGUGAAAUCCCACGGCCCAACCGUGGAACUGCCUUUGAAACUGUAGAGCUUGAGUGUCAGAGAGGGUGGCGGAAUUCCAGGUGUAGGAGUGAAAUCCGUAGAUAUCUGGAGGAACACCGGUGGCGAAGGCGGCCACCUGGACGACAACUGACGCUGAGGUGCGAAAGCGUGGGUAGCAAACAGG